Long non-coding RNA from Ictalurus punctatus (channel catfish), 1302 nucleotides. NCBI's taxonomy places the organism in Eukaryota, Metazoa, Chordata, Actinopteri, Siluriformes, Ictaluridae. The record is from Ensembl.
UGGGAGCUCGUUGGUGUUAAUUACCUGCCACUUCCGCCUAAGGCAUUUUGCGCCACGUGGACUUAAAUCAGCAUCUGCUACACAUUUCAUCAACUGCCGUUUCCUCAAAGUGCUGUGCUAACGUUAAUCCCAGCUUCACCGAGGUUCUCUCAGCUCUGUAGCCUGUUUCAUGUCUGUUCAAGGAGAAUGCUUUCUAACAGUGGAUUUACCCUGAACUGCCUUUGUGAAAGCUGGUUUGAGGCCAGUAAAUUACAGUAGAGCAUGGUGUGGCUUGCCAGAGAGGGGCUUCAUUAGUCCGUCUGUUUGACCUGCAGUUUCACCUGCCCGUGUCCUGUCAGCAAAAUGUAGCCUAAUGUCACUAAUAAUUAUUCAUAUGUUAAUGGUUUUAAUAAAUCUUUCUAGAUUGCCACCAUAUUGGUGAAUUUAAAUUAAUAUUUGUAUUCAGAAUAUAAGGUGUGUGUACGCACGUGUGUUUAGGAGUCCACCUUAGCACUUGUAGCCUCUAUGGCUUUAUUAAAUCAUUGUCAGUGUUUGAUGACUAAAAUCUCUCUCGCCAGUAUUAGCCAGAGGAGGAUGUCCUCCAGGAGUUUUUAAUUUUCUUUUUUAAAAUUUAUUGUUAAACCACAACGUGGUAUCGUGUACUUCUGGUGGUAUUAUUACCGACUACUAGAUUUUUGGUAUUGUGACAUCCCUAAUGCACACACACAUAUGGCUUUUGUAUGUAUAAACACAGAGCUACAGCAAACAGCUUAUGGUGUGUGUAUUUAUUUAUGACAUUGUUAAUAUUACAUCUGUUAUUCACAUAACGUGUACAGUAACAAGUAAAAAUACUUGCAUUGGAGUUCGUGUUACAUUUCACACAUCCUGCGAUCCGCUAUGUCCCAUAAAAGUUGAAAACGCACAGUGGCUAGGUAACAAUUAAGUCAAUGCGACUGUUUAAUGUGAAUUGUUUUGCCGUUUGGAUUUUACCUUGUUACUUCAACUGUAUUGUUAAAAAAAAUAGACAGUUGCAAAAAUGAAACUUUUAUCAGCACAAAAAUAAAGGUUGUUCACGCUGCCCCGAUUCUUCUUAACUUGCUUCCUCUUGAUGAAAGUUUGGACAGUUCCUUUGGUCAAAAGUCAACUGACUGAGUCUGCAUCAAAUGCAGAAUCAUCUGCUGGAACAGCGUCUUCACAGGACACCCAUUAUUCUGCCUAGGCGAAGUACCACAGAACAAUGCCAGCCAUGGCCAAAGCAGUUCCCUCUUCCACAGUUUGCAUACGAAACCGAGAUGUACCUUGAAAGAGCCGUUGAAGACUGCG